CACCUUUCACAAUCCUUCAUCU
RNAcentral lists this microRNA (22 nucleotides) under Monodelphis domestica (gray short-tailed opossum). RNAcentral describes it as "mdo-miR-7278-3p". The record is from miRBase by way of RNAcentral. Lineage: Eukaryota; Metazoa; Chordata; Mammalia; Didelphimorphia; Didelphidae.